Molecule: transfer RNA, 89 nt
Filed under: Oscillospiraceae bacterium
Lineage: Bacteria; Bacillati; Bacillota; Clostridia; Eubacteriales; Oscillospiraceae
Description: tRNA-Leu
Rfam family: tRNA
About the family: Transfer RNA (tRNA) molecules are approximately 80 nucleotides in length.
Source: RNAcentral
GCCGGAGUGGCGGAAUUGGCAGACGCCCUGGACUUAAAAUCCAGUGAGGUUAAACCCUCGUACCGGUUCAAGCCCGGUUUCCGGCACCA